GUGCCAGCCGCUGCGGUAAUACGUAGGGUGCGAGCGUUGUCCGGAAUUAUUGGGCGUAAAGAGCUCGUAGGCGGUUUGUCGCGUCUAUCGUGAAAACUGGAGGCUUAACUUUCAGCGUGCGGUGGAUACGGGCUGACUUGAGUGUGGCAGGGGAGACUGGAAUUCCUGGUGUAGCGGUGAAAUGCGCAGAUAUCAGGAGGAACACCGGUGGCGAAGGCGGGUCUCUGGGCCAUUACUGACGCUGAGG
RNAcentral lists this ribosomal RNA (247 nucleotides) under uncultured Sciscionella sp. Its description in RNAcentral is "partial 16S ribosomal RNA". It matches the Rfam family "Bacterial small subunit ribosomal RNA", at positions 505 to 751 of the family's 1533-position model. The record is from RNAcentral. Lineage: Bacteria; Bacillati; Actinomycetota; Actinomycetes; Pseudonocardiales; Pseudonocardiaceae.